GCUGUUGUCCUGUGAAGCUGGUGCUGCUCCGUGGUCAGUCUCACCGGGAAAGGUGUACUGAGGUUCCACCAACCACAACCCUCUCCCGUGUGCUAGAUACAGUAGGGAAUAUCUCCUCGCAGUCGGUGAGCCAGUAGCCAGUGAGUGCGAGAGAGACAGUAAAUACAGUGCAUGGGAACGUGCAACACACUAGAGAAGUUAUCCUGUGUGUGUGGGUUCUGCGGUUUUCUCAGCUUAAGUCAACAAGAUCUAUUGAGCCGUAGACUACGACACGGAAGAGGAGCUCACUGUGUCGCAUUAAAAUCACACCUUUUUCUGUGAGUAAUGCUAAUUUGGAGA
Micropterus dolomieu (smallmouth bass) is the source of this 339-nucleotide long non-coding RNA. RefSeq lists it as uncharacterized. The record is from RefSeq and is a predicted model, not a curated record. The transcript has 3 exons. NCBI's taxonomy places the organism in Eukaryota, Metazoa, Chordata, Actinopteri, Centrarchiformes, Centrarchidae.